This 221-nucleotide unclassified non-coding RNA is filed under the name plant metagenome. Its description in RNAcentral is "partial contains small subunit ribosomal RNA, internal transcribed spacer 1, and 5.8S ribosomal RNA". The record is from RNAcentral.
UUUCCGUAGGUGAACCUGCGGAAGGAUCAUUAGCGAAUUUUCAGUAGUCCCUGGCUUCGGCCUCGGACUAUUCAACUCUCCUAUUCCUUUACCACACACCUGCGCUAGUGUAGCAAUACACCGGCGCAAGCUCUUUUAUUACUAUAUAACACACCAGUUCAUUGUAUGUUCAAAAAACUAUAAACAAAAUAAAACUUUCAACAACGGAUCUCUUGGUUCUC